RNAcentral lists this ribosomal RNA (253 nucleotides) under uncultured bacterium. Its description in RNAcentral is "partial 16S ribosomal RNA". It matches the Rfam family "Bacterial small subunit ribosomal RNA", at positions 524 to 776 of the family's 1533-position model. The record is from RNAcentral.
UACGUAGGGUGCGAGCGUUAAUCGGAAUUACUGGGCGUAAAGCGUGCGCAGGCGGUUUUGUAAGACAGGCGUGAAAUCCCCGGGCUCAACCUGGGAAUUGCGCUUGUGACUGCAAGGCUAGAGUGCGUCAGAGGGGGGUAGAAUUCCACGUGUAGCAGUGAAAUGCGUAGAGAUGUGGAGGAAUACCGAUGGCGAAGGCAGCCCCCUGGGACGGUACUGACGCUGAGGCGCGAAAGCGUGGGGAGCAAACAGG